Molecule: ribosomal RNA, 254 nt
Filed under: uncultured bacterium
Lineage: Bacteria
Description: partial 16S ribosomal RNA
Rfam family: Bacterial small subunit ribosomal RNA
Source: RNAcentral
UACAGAGGGUGCAAGCGUUUGUUCGGAAUUAUUGGGCGUAAAGAGCUCGUAGGCGGUUGGGUAAGUCGGGUGUGAAAGCCCUGGGCUCAACCUGGGAAUUGCAUUGGAUACUGGCAGGCUAGAGUGCGGUAGAGGAUGGCGGAAUUCCCGGUGUAGCAGUGAAAUGCGUAGAGAUCGGGAGGAACAUCUGUGGCGAAGGCGGCCAUCUGGACCAGCACUGACACUGAGGCACGAAAGCGUGGGGAGCAAACAGG